Molecule: transfer RNA, 87 nt
Filed under: Flexilinea flocculi
Lineage: Bacteria; Bacillati; Chloroflexota; Anaerolineae; Anaerolineales; Anaerolineaceae
Rfam family: tRNA
About the family: Transfer RNA (tRNA) molecules are approximately 80 nucleotides in length. Their secondary structure includes four short double-helical elements and three loops (D, anti-codon, and T loops). Further hydrogen bonds mediate the characteristic L-shaped molecular structure. tRNAs have two regions of fundamental functional importance: the anti-codon, which is responsible for specific mRNA codon recognition, and the 3' end, to which the tRNAs corresponding amino acid is attached (by aminoacyl-tRNA synthetases). tRNAs cope with the degeneracy of the genetic code in two manners: having more than one tRNA (with a specific anti-codon) for a particular amino acid; and 'wobble' base-pairing, i.e. permitting non-standard base-pairing at the 3rd anti-codon position.
Source: Rfam by way of RNAcentral
GGAGAGGUGCCGGAGCGGUUGAACGGGGCGGUCUCGAAAACCGUUACAGCCUCAUGGCUGUCGUGGGUUCGAAUCCCACCUUCUCCG